Homo sapiens (human) is the source of this 9660-nucleotide long non-coding RNA. RefSeq lists it as uncharacterized. The record is from RefSeq and is a predicted model, not a curated record. The transcript is spliced from 3 exons. Lineage: Eukaryota; Metazoa; Chordata; Mammalia; Primates; Hominidae.
UUGCCAUGUUGGCCAGGCUGGUCUUGAACCCCUGACCUCAGGUGAUCCACCCGCCUCGGCCUCCCAAAGUGCCAGCUACUUCCCUACUCUAGUCAGUGGGCGCCUGCCUUUCUCGACACUUUCCUUCCUCACCUCCUCCACCCCUCCCUCACCCAAUCCAAAGGGCACUAACAACACUAGGUGGAGAGAAAUGCCCCAGGAGAGCUAACACUAAGGACUUCAUCCACGUCUUCUGAAGUCUGCCUGGACUUUGUGAAAGCCUAAUGUUUACUGACAAUGGCCACCAUUAUUUCUGUUUUAUGGGAGAGGUCUGUUGGCAAAGAGUCGGCCACCCAGAUUUACCACAUUUCUCUGCAGAACACUCUUUUGUUCAAUAUAAGCAGAGACCUUCCACCGGGGGCAGGAUUUGUGGUGAGUCCAAUACCCCUUUGUACUUGAUGAGUUUCUGGAUGCCUUUUGAGUCCAGCUCAUGUGGGUGCUAUUUGCAGUUAAAUUAAAAUGUUUGGGAAUGGGAUGGAAGGGAGAGAGAGGGAGUUAUAAGAAAGGAGGUGUAGAAUGCUGUCUUAGCCAAGACUUAAGACAAUUGGCACAAAGAUCCCGCCUAGUGGAGGAGAGCUGUGAAAUUGUGGCCUCUACCAAUGCUGAGUUUAGCCUUGAUACCCUCUCCCCUCCCUCCCUCCUUCCCACCCACAGCCUUCUUUUUGCCCUGGGCCUUUUCUCUUUCAUCCUAUUUCCUUGUCUUGGCAUGAAACCUGGGCCCCUGGCUGUCAGUACCUUCAGAGUGUUUGAAACUACCAGCUGAAACCUUUCUCCUAACAAGAUAAGAACCUUCUGCUGGUGCCUUCUGAAAACCCAGAUAGGACUGAGAACUGACCUGUUUAACUCAUCAACUCCUUAUUAGAUACCUGCAGUGAGCCAAGGACCAGGCUAGUUCCUGUGAUGCUGAAGAUGUUGAAGGGAAGCCCAUAACAUUACAACGUUGACCAAUCCUCCAGAAAAGAAGCUCUAACAGAGGACCCUGGCUGUCUACGGGGUUGGGUAAGGAUUCUUCCAGGAAGAGACACUUUUCACACACUCAAAGGUUGAUAGGUUGAUUACUGAUACUUUCAGAGAUAGGCUGGAGUCUUUUUUUUUUUUUUUUUUUUUUGAGAUUGGGUCCCCCUCUGUCGCCCAGGCUGGAGUGCAGUGGCGCGAUCUCGGCUCACUGCAACCUCCACCUCCCGGGUUCAGGUGAUUCUCCUGCCUCAGCCUCCUGAGUAGCUGGGAUUACAGGCCCGUGCCACCAUGCUCGGCUAAUUAUUUUGUAUUUUUAAUAGAGAUGGGGUUUUGCCAUGUUGGCCAGGCUAGUCUUGAGCUCCUGACCUCAGGUGAUCCACCUGCCUUGGCCUCCCAACAUGUUGAGAUUACAGGGGUGAGCCACUGUGCCUGGCCCAGGCUGGAAUCUUAUUGUCCAGAAGUGCAGACAUUUACUGUGCCCUGCAAGGUGCCUAGCUGGGUACAGUGCCGAACAAAGGAAGCACGUAGUGAGUGCUUUAAGAAACUCUUGACAAGUGGAGUCUUAGUGAACCCACCCUAAAGGCCAGGCUGAGUGUUCCAGAACACCAGUUCCCAGGCUCUUUUGGGAACUUGAAGCUAGGAAUCUAUUUAGACAACAACCAUCCAUGCCAUUUCUGUGCCCACCACCAUAGAGCAGCUCACUGUCCUCCUCCCUCUUUCCAAACCAUUAAUCCCUGCAGAGCCCUGCCAGCAUUUCCCUCUUAGAGUCUUCCGGCCUUGGCCAAAGACCCAGCUCCACUGAUCCACCCAUUGUUUCAUUCUGGUAAUACACUUUCUUGGUUUGGGCAAAGGUAGCCUUUUAGUGCCAAACAUUACAGAGAAGGAGAUCCGCAGAUGAUAUGGUCUGGCUCUUUGCCUCUGUCACAAUUACAGCUUCCAAACAGAAAGGAAGUUUUCUGGUUUAGAAGGGUCCACCAGAUGGCGAAGGGUCCUGGGGCUGAAGCUUCUUAGUUAAAGUAUGGGGUUGUAUCAGUGUCCUAGGACUGCUGUAACAAAUUACCACAAAAUGAGUAGCUCUAAACAAUGGAACUGUGUUCUGUCACACUUCUGGAAGGCAGAAGUCAAAUCAAGGCAUCAGCAGGCUGCAUCUCCUCUGAGGCUUUAGGGGAGGAUCUGGCCUUGCCUCUUCCAGUCUCUGGUGGCUGCCGGCAAUCCUUGGCUUCCUAGGCUUGUGGCAGCAUCACUCCCAUUUCUGCCACUGUGGUCACAUGGCCUCCUCCUCUUCUGUCUCUUAAAAAGACACUUACCAUUGCAUGUAGGGCCCACCCGGGUAAUCCAGGAUGAUCUCAUCUUAAGAUCCUUAAUUACAACUGCAAAGACCCCUUUUCAAAAUAAGGUAACAUUCACAGCUUCAGGGGGCUUGGACGUGGCUACAUCUUUUUGGUGGGCCACCAUUCAACCCAGUAUAGGGGUCGAGAAGCAGAUUUCUGCUGAAGCCCUUGCAUUUUGUACCCACUUAGGAAUUCCAUGAGGAGUGAAAGCUGGAAGCACAGUGUGUGGUCAUCUGGGAGGGAACGCAAGGAUUUAGGCAUCCCAAGAUAUACCUGUACCUGUUGUGAAGUUUCUGUUUAGAUGCAGAUCUGACCAUUUCACUCCCUACUUCAGACUCUUUAAUGAUUUCCCAUUACCCUAAGGAUCAAGCUCGACACCUUAGCGAGGCUUACAAACCUUUUGUGGUUUGGCCUCAUUUCUCGCCUCUGCCCCAGCCCUGUGCCAUCCAGGGAGACUGACUUGUAGUUCUCCCUGCAGCUCCCGUUCACUGCCUCUGGGCCUUCGGCCCCUAUGUUACCUCUCCCUGGAACACUCUUUCUCCUCUUAGCCCAACUGGAGACUGAUGAGCUCACUUAAAGCUGGCAACAUUGGUUUCUAUCUCCGUGGAGCUUCCCCUCGCUCUGCCUUCAGUUUACAAACCCAGUCCUGGCGCCUGGAAGCCCUCUGUGUGCCGGUCACCAGCAGAGUGGCUACAUUCUUCCAGUGUUGUCAACGCAGCUGACUUUGGUCAUCCAUUCACCUGCUGUGCACCAGGACCUCCCUGCGCUAGGCCUGUGGCACAGCAGGGAGCAAGACAGAUUCCUGUGUCCUUGCUGUAGGAUGACUUCAGUGGAAUUACAGGGUGCCGACAACUCCGAUGGCUCACUGUUAGGGAAAGAGGGAUUAACCCAGAUCUAGAAGGGGAGAUCAGGAAAUAUUUCUGUGUCUGAUUUAGCCAGGACAGGGGGUGAAGCUUGAGGUGAGGUGAAGAGCAGGCACUCCAGGUUGAAAGCACAGCAUGUGUGAAGGCUGAGAACACACAGAGAACAGAACUUGCGAAAAUAACAGAUCGUGAUACAAUUAAAACAGGGUGGUGUGCAAAUGAAUAGGGAGCUUCUCUAGACUGGGUAGCCCCAAAAGGUCUGCCAGAAGAGAUGCUAUUUAGUCUGAAGCCUGGAUCGUGAUGACAGUCCCCCUGUGAAGGUGCAGGGAGAGUGUUUUGUGCAGAGGAAACAGCUGGUACAAGAGGCAAAGAUGCGAAUGAGCUCGAAGAGUUUGAGGUACAGAUAAAAGGCUGGUGUGGCUGCUGCGUGGUGGGGGCGAGGGUGAGGAGGAGUACAGGAUGCAGGUGAGAGAAGCAGGCAGGGGUCAGAGCCUGUAGGGCUCUGGAGGGUGGGGGCAGGGGGACAGAGGGUGAUGGAUGUGAUGGACAGAGGGUGAUGGAGUGCUUUUAAGGAAGACCUGUGGGGCCUCACCCAGCCCCUUCCAGGAAACCCCAUUCUGAGGAUGGGGGCACAGGCCAGGGGAGGCUGCAGGGAGAGCCUGGGGUCCCAGGUACCCUUAGCCUCCAUCCUGUUCUCUCAGAGGUCAUGGAUUGCGGUCAGCGGGACUGGAAAUAUGGAUCUGUUUUGUUUUGGCAAAACUUUCUCUGUACCUACUACAUAAGCACUCCUACCCUGGGGUAGAUUGCACCAGGCCAGGUGGUGCAGGUGCAGGGCUGCUCUCUUUCUCUCUGUCUCACAUACACACACACACACACUCUCACACAUACACACACCCUGCGCCACCUCAUGCACACUAACCUCUGUGAGCUGGGCCUGUUGAGGCCCUCCUGAAGCUACCUGGGAGCUCAAGUCCCACAGAUCCUUGGAGUCUCAAGGUUGUUGGCAGUAUUGGACCUUCCCAGAGUAGGGCAAAGGUAGGGAAGAUGUAGCAGAGGUAUUGACUCAGACAGACUUUUGUUCUAACCCUGUCUCUACCGCUUACUGUCUAUAUGACUUUGGACAAGAGACUGAGCCUCUCUGAGACUUAGUUUGGUGUAUUUAGCUCAGAUGUAGUUAGUUGAGUUCACUGGGAGCACAUUCUAGCCUCCCCCUAGGCUGAGUGCAAAAGUUAACUCUGCUGAUGGUCUAGAGCAGCCAGCAUUAGAUGCUAGCUCGGCACAGCAAUCUUUUUUUUUUUUUUUUUUUUUUUUUUGAGACGGAGUCUCACUCUGUCUCCCAGGCUAGAGUGCAGUGGCGCAAUCUUGGCUCACUGCAACCUCCGCCUCCCAGGUUCAAGCGAUUCUCCUGCCUCAGCCUCCCUAGUAGCUGGGACUACAGGCGCGUGCCGCCACGCCCAGUUAAUUUUUUGUAUUUUUAGUAGAGACAAGGUUUCAUCGUGUUAGUCAGGAUGGUCUCGAUCUCCUGACCUUGUGAUCCACCCGCCUCAGCCUCCCAAAGUGCUGGGAUUACAGGCGUGAGCCACCGCGCCCAGCUCCAGCAAACAUCUUAAAAUGGAAUAUUAGACAUCCACAUUAUUAAGUCUUGUGGGCAUUGCCUUUGGUUUUUAAUAUAUUUGAAAAAAAUUUUUAAUUAAAAAUAGAGAUGAGGUCUCACUAUAUUGCCCAGGCUGGUCUUGAACUCCUGAGCUCAAGUGAUCCUCCCACCUCGGCCUCCCAAAGUGCUGGGAUUACAGGUGUGAGCCACCAUGUCCAGUUGGGCAUUGCCUCUGGGCAUUGCCACAGGGAUUUUUCACAGCCAACUCAGGAUCACCACCCUGUUGGUUGUAGGAUGACCAGCUGACUUGGUUUGCUUGGGACUGAGGGGUUUCCUAGGACAUGAAGCUUUCACUGGCAAAACCAGGCAAAUCAGGAUGAAUUAGUAAUGCCAGCUAGUGGAAGCUUACAGCAUCCUUACUAAUUGCAAUACAGUUAUUUCCUGCUUUGCAGAAUGACCCCUUUCCCAUUGGCUAUGGUAUUGGUGGGUCCUCUUCUCCCCAGGCCAAGGAUGGACUUCUAACCCAAACCAGAAUACUCAACCUCUUUCCCUUGAUUUGAAUCUCAACACAAAACCUAAACAGACUGUCCAAUAACUCCUGCUACCUGGAUCCUUGGAGGUGUUUGGCUUUUUGUUGUCCUCUUAGUUUGCUCUUCAGCCUUUCCUUUGACUCCACGAGGUGCCCCUCACAGCUUUCCAGUAAAUUUCUUUGUUGGCCGGGCGUGGUGGCUCACGCCUGCAAUCCCAGAGCUUUGGGAGGCUGAGGUGGGAGGAUUGCCUGAGCUCAGGAGUUUGAGACUAGCUUGGGCAACAUAGCAAGACCCUAUCUCUGUUUUUUAAAGAAAUUAGCCAGGUGUGGUGGCUCAUGGCUGUAGGCCUAGCUACUUGGGAGGCUGAGGCAGGAGGAUUGCUUGAGCCCAGUAGUACAAGGCUGCAGUGAGCUAUGAUCACUGAGCUCCAGCCUGGGUGAUAGAGUAAGAACCUGGCUCUCUAAAAAUUUAAAAGCAAAAAGAAAAUUACUUCAGUUAGUUGCAACCAGUCCCUUUCCCCAUUCUCUAUACAGCAGUGAGAACUUUCUGCAUGGGGACAAUCCAGAUCCCUGCCACACAUCUGACUUCUUUGUAAACAUGUGACCAUCACCUGUGAUCAUAUCUUUAACCCUCACACUCCCCCAUCCUAACCUUCAUGAAAUGCUGCUCAUGCUCUGAGCUAGUAUCUCUCAUCUAACCCCUACCCCACCUCCAGGAGACCUCGCCUGUUACAGUCUAUGCCUGAUUUAGCUGUUGUCCUUUUCUGCAGUAGAGUCCCCAGGAGUUCUUCAGGGACAGGCAGUCAAGGACAGCUGGUGCCCAGAGCCUCCCUGGCUUGCCCACUGGGCAGCUCCAGGGACAACUUGACCUGCCCAAUCAAAGCCAAAGGUCAGAACAGGAGGCAGAACCUCGCCCGGCCCUCUUCAAACUCCAAGGGAAAGCCUGUUCCUUGGAUCCUUUCAGAAAUAAAAACAAAAUGACAUCAGGUGUUAUUUAGUGUUAUUUUGCUGACUUUCACUCAAUCUGUUCUCCCAGGAUCUCAGAUUUGCUGACCAGCAGGACCAGAUGGCACCUUUUGCAGGACUAUCUCAUUGUUUCUGCCUUUGCAUGUGCCCUGAGCAGCCUAAGAAACAACUUUUCUUCUUCUGACUGUGCAUUGUUUCUAGUUUUUUUUUUUUCUUCCUAUGACUCUGCUGAGGGCAUGUGACACCCAAUCCUGGCUUACGUUUCAUAUCCUUGAGAUGACAGCUGACUUUGUUGUCCAGAAGGAGGGAGAGUGAGGGUAAGGGCUGGGGAGGGAAGGGAAAGUACCAGAAAAUGGAAGGGGCUAGAUUGCUCCAGGUUCAUAACUCUGAUUGCAACCACCCUCUUUCUCAGCCUUUCUGGAAUGUGGCUGUUUAUGCUCCAUGUACCCCUGGGAACUUCCUGAUUGCCCAACAAAGAUUCAAUACCCCAGGCUUUGGAGUCAUUAGACUGGAGUUUGAAUCCCAGGUUCCUGACUCAAGUGGGCAUGUUAUGUAACCUGUCUGAGACUCAGUUUCCUCAUCUGAAAAUGUGGCCAAUAAUAGUCUAGACCUCCCAGAGUGGUGGAGAUUAAAAGAGGCAAUGACUGUAGAGUGCUUAGCACCCAAUCAAUGUCAACUAUUAGGAGAGACAUUCUCCUUCAUUUGUUUCACAAGGAAAAUGCAAGGAGAUGCCACUCCAGCAAGCAUUUCUGGAAUCCUGCUGGCGAGGUCAUAAUGACCAAAAUUAUGGGCUUUAGAAUGGUCCUCAUUUAGCCUGUACUAUUUAUAAUGAAUAGGAAGGCAAAUUACUUAACCUCUCUACACACAAGUUUUCUCAUCUGUAAAAUGGAGAUGGUAAAACCUACUCUAUAGGAUUAUUGUGAAGGUUGAGUUAAAUAAAAAAUGUCUAAAAUGCUUUAUACAGGACCGUGAUCCCUUACCCCGAACCCAUGGGAUUUUGCAAGACUUUUUGGAUUCCAGAAAGUUUCCAUCUCUCCAUUCGUGAGCUCCUUGAAGGCAGAGAACACUUGGCUUUUCUUCCUAUACCUCCAGUCCCUAAUGCAGGGACAUGAGAGAUGCCCAUUUGUGUUUGAUGAAUGAAUGAGUGAAUAAAUGAAUGAAUGAGUGCCUGGAGAUCAGAGUACAUGGGAUGAGUGUUCGGAGUUCUACAGACUCAGGAAGCCCCAGCUGACAUUCCAAGAAGAAGGAGACACGAAGGUGAGGGGAUGCCAUGCAGUUAGCGUCACAUGAAGAAAAACAAAAUUUAAGGUAUCAUCCUUAGAAGACGGAGGGAUGACAGUUUCAAGGAGGAUUUGUUCAUCAGAUGCUGGGAAGGAAUUUCAACAGGUAAAACUGCAUAGUGCAUAGGUUUAUAAGCAUGAACAAGCAUGUCAGCUAUGUAUUUAGUAGGUGCUCAUGAUUUGUGUCAAGCAUUGUUCUAAGUGCCUUGUAAGCAUUAAGCCAUUUAAAUUCUUAUAACAAUUGCAUGAAACAUUUAACCAUUACUAUGUCUAUUUUACAGAUGAGGAAACUGAAGAGCAGAGAGGUUAAGUACCCCCCUACCCUGCCCCCCAGGGGACACAACCUGUAAGUGACACCGUGAGGCUUUUAACCCAAAGAGUUUGGUUCCAGAAGUCUGUCUUGCUGCCUUCAAGCCAGCCCUCGCUCUGCUGCUGGUGCUAACCUAAGGACUUGAUACCUUUUUUAAGGCCCUCCUGAGAGGGAGGUAUGAUUCUCCUCCAUUUUCAGAUGAGAAAGCUGAGGCUCCAAGAGGUUGCCAAAGUUCAGCUAGCUGACAAGUGGCAGAGCCAGGAUCUACAGUCACAGCCAUGCUCACUGUGUCCUGUGUCUUCUGACACUCACGGCUGAGCUCUAAGCCUGGGUCACCUCCUCUGCCCCUCUCUCCACAGCUCUGGAACCUCAGCCAAGGCCCAGCAGAUGGUGGCCCUACAUGCACAUUUCUGACUCAGCCGCCCCCUCUCCACCCGCUGCUUCUCAUCCCAGCUCUGAACCUCUAACCCACCAUAGUUUCUGAGACAGGGACACCAUCCUGACCUGGCAUGAGAUUAGGAACAGCUCAGGCCAUCAGCAUCUUUUGGGGGCAAAAAUAGGUGCAGCUAAAAUCUAUUUAUACAUCCCUGAUGGGCAGGAAGGCGACAGCCAGACCUAAGGAAAGGUUGUUCAAGGAUUCAGCAUGUCAGCAUCCCGGGUACCUGAGCAGGCUGAUGGGAGGUGUGUGCAGGACAGGGAGCCCCAGGCAGGCCCUCUGUCUCAGCUGGGAGGGCAGGAUACUUUUCCUGGCUCUCCUUCACCCAGGCUCUCCUGCUCCUUCCCUCAGGGCCUUCCUUUGCACAAUGGCUGGCAGGCUCAGGAUGCCUCUGAAGCCAGGAAGAGGGGCACUUUGACUAGUCAACCCAGCCUCCUUGACAGAGCCCUAGGCCCAAGCUGACCCCCCGGGGGAUAAUUGGAGCAGCAUUUGAGCAUACUAUUUGGUUACUUUCAUCUCAAGUGCUUGACCCAAAAGACAUCUGGCACAGGCUCAGCUACUCAGUACCCCUUCCUGGGGCGACAUGUCACUGUGACAGUACUGUGCCUCCAUUUCCCCAUGUGUGAAGACAGAAAAUUCUCAAGUGUCUAGCACACACAGGCUUGACCAAGGGAGACCCCCAUGCCCUAGACAGUAGCAGAAAAAAUUUCCUUGUGUGGGCUGAGGAAGGUAGCAUGGCUAGGGUUGGAGGGAGAAAAAGCUCAGGUUUCAGGAUCCAGCAGAUUUGGGUUCCAUUUCUGGAUCUGCCUCUUCCUGUCUAUGUGAUCUUGGGCAAAUACUUACCAUAUCUGAGCCCUGGAAAUAGUAACCAUUCCAAUACUUAAAACAGGUCUCUGAGGUAGAUGCUGUCUCUAGACAUGUCUUAUAAUCGAGAAACUGGGCACAGAGAGAGAAAUUAACUUGCUCCAGGUCACACAGAUGAUAAGUAACAAGAGUCAAGAUUCAAACCUAGAUGGCCUGGCUCUCCUCUUUGCUCCUAACCACUACCCCACACUGCCCUGCUUCCUAUAAAACCUGGAAGAGGAGAGUUCUGAUCCUAGUCCUGCCAGUAAGUUAAGGCACAGGGCCACUUGGACCUUGUAUUGGUGCAUUUUCAUGCUGCUGAUAAAGACAUAGCGGAGACUGGGCAAUUUACAAAAGAAAGAGGUUUAAUGACUUACAGUUCCAUAUGGCUGGGAAUGCCUCACAAUCAUGACAGAAGGCAAGGAGAAGCAAGUCACAACUUACAUGGAUGGUGACAAGCAAAAAAAAACCUUGUACAGAGAAACUCUCAUUUCUUUUUUUUUUUUUUUUUG